This is a long non-coding RNA of Piliocolobus tephrosceles (Ugandan red Colobus), 2575 nucleotides long. RefSeq lists it as uncharacterized. Lineage: Eukaryota; Metazoa; Chordata; Mammalia; Primates; Cercopithecidae. The record is from RefSeq and is a predicted model, not a curated record. The transcript has 5 exons.
UGAAAAUGCUCACUGGGAUUGGAGUUGACUUGCCGACUCUGUUCUGUAUCCUUCCCACCACCUGAUCCCAGAGGGCAGAGCUUCCCACCUCAUGCCAGUGAUUACGGAGAUUUCUCCAGGAUGUUACCUGUAUGAGGUACACAGUGUGAGGACACGCUCCGUGCUUUUCCUACUUGGGUCCACGAUCUUGGAGGAGUGUCUCCUGUGGGUAUGGUAGCCUCUGGGGCCCUGAGCUGCUGACAGCGGAUGAGAGGUGGAGUGAGCCUGAGGGGCAGUCAUUGUCACACAGAGCCUGGAGAAAGCAUUUGGGAGGAGCUUCAGCUCUGGCAUCUCCUCUUAUCAGAGUUCCUCUGGGCCAGUAGGCGCACGUGUCACUUUCUUGCCUGGUCAGUCAGGCCUGCAUAGACACAUCCCCGGCCCCUUUCCUUUGGAGCUGUGGUGUAAGCCCAGGAUCAGUUCCCAUCCAUGGCCAACAGGGUCUUCCCCAACCACUGGCCCCAGCAGAAGGCCAUCCCUCUAAUCCCCUGCUCUUGGAAAACAUCGCAGAGGUGGAUGUGCUUUGCUGGGUCAGCAGUUCCAAUAACAGUACUGAGCCAUGAAGCCAAGGGCGAGCAGGAAAGAAAAGAGGAUGGAAGAAAGACAAAGAGGAAACAGUAUGCAAAGAGAAAAGAAAAUUGAGUGAGGGAAAAUGUGUAGAAAGAUGAAAGGAAAAUCAACACGCCUCGUGGGAUGAGUCCUGUGCUGGUGGCGGUGCCUCUCUCAUUGGGUGCUGUCACUCCCAGACUGGACUGUCUGUUUUGCACAAUGAAGAUCAGGCAGGAUGUGAGUGGCAUAGCAAGUGAGAGCCUGCUGACGUGGCGUGCUCUGGGGGAUCGAUGCCCAUGAAAGAGAAAUGUGACUACAUUAGAAGCUCUGCAGAGGCAGAUAUUCAGAGCGUGUUCAUUCACGUACCCCAAUGCCCAGGAACAGUGCCUGACACAUCCUAAGCACAUGAUAAAUAUCUGUUGAAUUAAAUCGAAUGUUAGGUGAAUGCCGAAGAAUGAAGUUGGACCUGCUGUUGUCCUUGCAUUCUCAUGGAUCUAAAGCCCGGCUUUUGCAAAUCAAAAGUGCUUUGCUUUUCAGACUAUUUAUUGCUUCUGCUAGAGAUAGACAAAGCCUACUUGAAAGCCGGGAAAUGAAGAACCUGAAGUUGGUGUGCACAGUGGGUAGAAAGUGAUCCUGCCACCCGAACCUUGGGGAGCAGUGGGCUCAGGCAGGUUUGUCACCAGCCAUCCUAGGGCCACCAUUCAUCUCAGCCUUCAUCAAUGUGUUCAUAAACGUGAACAGACUCAGUAAAUGUGACAAUCAUCUGAGCGGUGGUGUUCUGAGGAGGGGGAACGUUUUUCUGAAUUUGCGAAUGAGUCCAUGGGGGUCUUUGACAAUGGGUACAAGGAAGUAGACGAGACAGCAACUUUUAAUGCCGACUGACGUCCCACUAUAAUGAAGCAACAUGGUGGACACACAGGACUCCAGGGCUCCUUGGAGACAGCGAGGCUUCACGUCUGUGUGGCUGGAAGCUGAUCAGCCUUCACCAGAAAGGGGAGCCAUGAGGAGAUCCUGUUGAGGACACAUUGGUGGGACUUUAGGGGUGCGAUAUCCAGUAGGCAGCUGGCUUUGAGAACCUGGAGACUGCAGCGGGGUCAGUGCCACAUGCCCGUCCAGGGGCCCGCCAGGCCGGAGGUGAGACCGCGGGGGACAGAGGCACCUGGAAAGAAGUGCGGAGCAGAUGUGACCCGGGAAAGCCUGUGGCGGAGGCCACUCCACACAAGAACCAAAGAGCUUUGGAAAGGAAGCAUUGCAGUGGGCAUAUGUGCCUCUCUGAACUUGUGCAACGGGCUGGUGAUUCCUCAUUGUUCUGUGAUGUUGGUUUCAGUUUUGUAAUGAGUUUUCAUGAAAAUAAUGAGCAUAAUGAAAGCCCACAUCCCUCUCAAAGUAGCAGAAUGGAAAACAGAACUCUGAAGAACCAGCUCUCUUGACAUUCUGAGGCCCAGAUAUUUCUCUCGGGGUUGUAGAACAACCUCGAACCUGCGUGUCUCCCUGGCCCCACUGGACACCUGCCCCUGGACCUUCCUACCAUCUAGGGGGUGAUGCACUUGAGUGAAGAUUCUCCAUGCGGCACCGGGGAUUUCUGCCAUUGUGAACUUUUUAACAGGUGUUCUUGGGAUGAUGAUUUUUCGGGUGUACCCCCCACCGGCAGCAGUUGCGUUUCUGGGCUUGCGAUUCAAGGCAUGACUGAGCAGGUGGGAGAUGAUGCCAUGCAUCUUUUGGCAUGAGGUCUCUUUCAAGUAAACGAAGAGGCGUUUUCGGAAACACUGCAGAGAGAGAAAUGUGAGCACAUAUUUUUUUGCUCUGGCCACCAUGAUUCUUUUGCAUCUGGUCACCAUUUCCCUGCACUCCAUGGUACCCCCUUCCCCAAGCUCCCGGGCCCACUAAUUGUGAGAUCAACGAAAAGCAUUAGCUAUGGACUCAGCACGCCUCCUCCCCUGAGCACUCCCGACAGCCAGCAGAAAUCAAUAAAUUAGGAUAAAGAAAAUGA